ACUCCUACGGGAGGCAGCAGUGGGGAAUCUUGGACAAUGGGCGCAAGCCUGAUCCAGCCAUGCCGCGUGAGUGAUGAAGGCCUUAGGGUCGUAAAGCUCUUUCGCCAGGGAUGAUAAUGACAGUACCUGGUAAAGAAACCCCGGCUAACUCCGUGCCAGCAGCCGCGGUAAUACGGAGGGGUUAGCGUUGUUCGGAAUUACUGGGCGUAAAGCGCACGUAGGCGGAUUGGAAAGUUGGGGGUGAAAUCCCAGGGCUCAACCCUGGAACUGCCUCCAAAACUACCAGUCUAGAGUUCGAGAGAGGUGAGUGGAAUUCCGAGUGUAGAGGUGAAAUUCGUAGAUAUUCGGAGGAACACCAGUGGCGAAGGCGGCUCACUGGCUCGAUACUGACGCUGAGGUGCGAAAGUGUGGGGAGCAAACAGGAUUAGAUACCCUGGUAGACA
Molecule: ribosomal RNA, 443 nt
Filed under: uncultured bacterium
Lineage: Bacteria
Description: bacterial SSU rRNA
Rfam family: Bacterial small subunit ribosomal RNA
Source: RNAcentral